CGCUGGCGGCGUGCCUAACACAUGCAAGUCGAGCGGGGACAUACGACGGAACCAAGUUUCGGAUGGAGGUGAAGGUGUAUGUUCUAGCGGCGGACGGGUGAGUAACGCGUGAGCAACCUGUCCCUUACAGGGGGAUAACACAGCGAAAGUUGUACUAAUACCGCAUGAGACCACGGGGAGACAUCUUUCUGAGGUCAAAGGAGCAAUCCGGUAAGGGGUGGGCUCGCGUCCGAUUAGAUAGUUGGUGAGGUAACGGCCCACCAAGUCGACGAUCGGUAGCCGACCUGAGAGGGUGAUCGGCCACAUUGGGACUGAGACACGGCCCAAACUCCUACGGGAGGCAGCAGUGGGGAAUAUUGGGCAAUGGGGGGAAACCCCCUGACCCAGCAACGCCGCGUGAGGGAAGAAGGUUUUCGGAUCGUAAACCUCUGUCCUUGGUGAAGAGGAAGAGACGGUAGCCAAGGAGGAAGCCCCGGCUAACUACGUGCCAGCAGCAGC
RNAcentral lists this ribosomal RNA (498 nucleotides) under uncultured bacterium. Its description in RNAcentral is "bacterial SSU rRNA". It matches the Rfam family "Bacterial small subunit ribosomal RNA", at positions 34 to 518 of the family's 1533-position model. The record is from RNAcentral.